This is a long non-coding RNA of Homo sapiens (human), 704 nucleotides long. The record is from Ensembl. Lineage: Eukaryota; Metazoa; Chordata; Mammalia; Primates; Hominidae.
GGAGAGUCAAAGAAUUCAGGAAUCACCUUUUUCAAAUGUUUCAUUCCCUUUUUCCAUUCCUUAAAGGUAAUGAACUCCCCAAAGGCAGAGACGUUAAUGGAUGAAUGAAGAAAUGAAAUGAGAAGGAGCUAGAAAUGGAACAUGCUAUCUGUGAUGGUGCCUGCAGAGCUGUCUGCAUCCCAUUAUGCCUCACUGUAUGGAAAGGCUUUUAAUUUCAGUCUAAUUCAAGUCAGCAGCAUAGGGCAGCUCCUGGGAAAUUGGUUUACACAUGCGGACAAGCCCAGUAGCCCAGAGCUAACCCACUCACCAUCCCUGACCACAGAGGAGCAGAUAAGGAAGCAAGAUUUGUCGGGAGCUAUGACAAGUUCCACUGUGGAUGGCAAGGAAAUGAGGGGGGCAGCAACCUGUUAAUGAGACUCAAGAGUGUCAAGACCCAUUUUUGUUAUCUGGAUUUUCAAGGCCGAGUUCAAACAUGAGGAUCCUGGAAAGGUUGGCAGACGUCUGCGGAAGCUACCUUCUCUGUUGUAAAAGUCCACAAAUGAGAAGUGGCUGCAGUGUAUAAACCUGUGGACAGCUCUUCUUGUACUGUCACCCACUCUCAUAGCUCACCAUCCUCAGGCACCCUCUUAUCUCUGCUCACAGAGUACCCACCUGAAAUGCCUAACCUGCUAACUCCACCCAGUGAAAUUCUGUGAAUCCCACAA